GAUGAACGCUAGCGGCAGGCUUAACACAUGCAAGUCGAGGGGUAUAACACUUCGGUGUUAGAGACCGGCGCACGGGUGCGUAACGCGUAUGUAAUCUACCUUUUACAGAGGGAUAGCCCAGAGAAAUUUGGAUUAAUACCUCAUGGUAUUAUGGAUAGGCAUCUAUUUAUAAUUAAAGAUUUAUCGGUAAAAGAUGAGCAUGCGUCCCAUUAGCUAGUUGGUAUGGUAACGGCAUACCAAGGCGACGAUGGGUAGGGGUCCUGAGAGGGAGAUCCCCCACGAUGGUACUGAGACACGGACCAGACUCCUACGGGAGGCAGCAGUGAGGAAUAUUGGACAAUGGGCGCAAGCCUGAUCCAGCCAUGCCGCGUGCAGGAUGACUGCCCUAUGGGUUGUAAACUGCUUUUGUACAGGAAGAAACCCUUCUACGAGUAGAAGAUUGACGGUACUGUAAGAAUAAGGAUCGGCUAACUCCGUGCCAGCCGCCGCAGUAA
This 494-nucleotide ribosomal RNA is filed under the name uncultured bacterium. Its description in RNAcentral is "partial 16S ribosomal RNA". It matches the Rfam family "Bacterial small subunit ribosomal RNA", at positions 28 to 523 of the family's 1533-position model. The record is from RNAcentral.